Molecule: long non-coding RNA, 1476 nt
Filed under: Triticum aestivum (bread wheat)
Lineage: Eukaryota; Viridiplantae; Streptophyta; Magnoliopsida; Poales; Poaceae
Description: long non-coding RNA (TAES_LNC006709)
Source: RNAcentral
AUCCGCUUCUAGUUCGACUUUCUGUAAUCGAAUUCGAGCUUUUUCGAGUUGCUCAAUGGUCCCUCUACGCAAUUCUUCUGAAUUUCGAAUAGUACUCAAGAUCCUCUGUUUUCGAUUAUCUAAUAAAUCUUUUAAUGAAAGUAGAUUAUUUUGUAAGUUUACAACUUUUAUGAUCUCUUCCCGAACCAAACAUGAAUCUUUCGAUUCAUUUGGCUCUCACGCUCCUUAUUUUUUUUUCUAUAGCUAUUUCCAUAUCUUUUUUGAAGUAAUGAGCCUAUCCUCUAUCUUCUUUUUUAUGUUUAUAUUUCAAUAUACCGAAACCUAUAUAAGACUAGAUAAAUAUUAAGAGGACUCUUCCGCCUAGAUAAAAAUAUAUCAUGGUCAGCAAAGUUGUUUCUUUAUUUUUAUUUGCCCUCUUUAAUAAUUUCAAUUUCAUUAAGAAAAACUAACUAAAUAAAUGGAAAAUGAAAAUUAAUAGAAUUCUUUUUUUUCUUCAAAUCCAAAAAAUUUCUCUUUUUUAUACAUAGGUCGUCGAUUCGGCAUUGGUUAAAAAAGGGUAGGGUGCCCCCUUUUUUUUCUAGUAAAUAGUUCAAACCAUUUUAUCGAUACGAGUGUUCUAUAUCAGAUAAAUUUUACAUUAGCUAUUUCCCAUUUAAAUUCGGUACUAAUACUAAUAUAGUUGUAGAAAGAGUACCUCUUUUUGCCUGGACUUCAAGCAGUUUAGCUUUAACCGUGUUAAUGGUCUCACAUUAUUGGUUUAUAGAGAAUCAAAGUUGAUUUACCAAUGAGUCGCGAAAUGCUAUGGUUCUUCCAUAUGAUUUCUGAAUUUAUUCAGAAGUAAUUCGUCGAGAUCGUGCACCCUUUUCUUAUUUAUCCGAAAAAUACUAAAAAAUAUUAUAAAGUGCAGCCGGAUAGAUCCAAUCUAUUCUUGAAAUAGACAACUCGCACACACUCCCUUUCCAAAAAAAAUCAAAACACCAACCACUACAAUUAGAUUUAUUAGAUUUGUAGCUAAAAUAUCGGUAUUAAGCCCGAAACUACCAGCGGAUGGCCAGUGAGCUAAAAAAACGAAAGAAUGGGUUACAUUUUUCAUAUGCUCUCCUCUUAUAGAUAGGACGAACAAAGAACAAAGUUUUUCGAUCACUUACUUCGCUCGCCCUUUUUUGAUCGGGUUUUUUUAAUGCAAAUAGAUUCAAUCUAGUAAUUUCUUUUAGAUUAAGUCUUACGUCUUGUUUGACUGGUGAAAGACUUCCUUUGUUGAAAUGUUCUGUUCCCAAAAUUCCUAAAAUAAAAGGAAAAAACUUUCCACUUUCCUAAACUAAGGACGGGAAAUAAGAAGGUGAGCAUAUCUUCUAAAUUAAUAAUACUCAACUCAGCCCUUCCUAGAAUGGGGUAUUAUCUGUCCCGAUAAAUAGAUAAUUCCAGGAGUAAUAAAUAGGAGUAAAUUAAAUAAAGUAUUGAUAUAAUUGGAAUUGC